Molecule: small nuclear RNA, 192 nt
Filed under: Zostera marina
Lineage: Eukaryota; Viridiplantae; Streptophyta; Magnoliopsida; Alismatales; Zosteraceae
Description: U2 spliceosomal RNA
Rfam family: U2 spliceosomal RNA
About the family: U2 is a small nuclear RNA (snRNA) component of the spliceosome (involved in pre-mRNA splicing). Complementary binding between U2 snRNA (in an area lying towards the 5' end but 3' to hairpin I) and the branchpoint sequence (BPS) of the intron results the bulging out of an unpaired adenosine, on the BPS, which initiates a nucleophilic attack at the intronic 5' splice site, thus starting the first of two transesterification reactions that mediate splicing.
Source: Rfam by way of RNAcentral
AUACCUUUCUCGGCCUUUUGGCUAAGAUCAAGUGUAGUAUCAGUUCUUAUCAGUUUAAUAUCUGAUAUGUGGAUCAUCGAUUCACACGAUAUUAAAUUUAUUUUUUUUGGGUGAAGAUCUGUUACAAUGGCUUGCUGUUGAGAUUUUCUGUCGUCGUAGUUUUGCAUUAUUGCUUUGAUUGGCAAAACCCUC